AUGGGCAACUGGAACGCUCCACUCGGAGUCAGCUCAAUUCCCAUGGGCAGCGCCCGGCUGAGAGUGAUGACUGGGAACUUUCUUGUGGCAGCAAAUUAAGCCCCGCACAGCUGAUGCCACAGAAGUCCCAGGAUGAAAGCUCUCCGAGACGGUGAGAAAGAAUCAGCAGCCCUGUGAUUAAGGACACAAGAACGGUGUUCUGGACACGUCCACUCGGCCUGGGGACGUCGUUGGCGUUACCUUGGACCAGCCAUUGUGACAAAGCAGAAACCCAGGGAUUGUUGGCAUUUUGUAAUCAGCUCUUUAAUAAUUAACUGUGUUCACGCAUCG
This is a long non-coding RNA of Condylura cristata (star-nosed mole), 330 nucleotides long. RefSeq lists it as uncharacterized. The transcript has 2 exons. Lineage: Eukaryota; Metazoa; Chordata; Mammalia; Eulipotyphla; Talpidae. The record is from RefSeq and is a predicted model, not a curated record.